RNAcentral lists this long non-coding RNA (411 nucleotides) under Medicago truncatula (barrel medic). RNAcentral describes it as "lncRNA gene17210". Lineage: Eukaryota; Viridiplantae; Streptophyta; Magnoliopsida; Fabales; Fabaceae. The record is from RNAcentral.
AUGACUCCUAGAGAGCAUUAUGCAUUCUAUCUUUCCAUUGUAUGGGACCUUGAUACUCGACAUCCUCUGAUUCAUAAUACUUGUAAAGAUAGAUUGAGUACCAAAGUCUCUUAGAUUGUGUCAUAUGAUCAUAAUGUAUGCACAAGAAUACAUGACAAUAUAAAAAUAAUAAGUUUUUCAGACAUUACUUGGUAGGUUGUCUCGUUCGGAUGUUGGGAAGUUACUUUUUCUAAAGGAUCCAGUCGCUGCACUAUUGUAAUUGAGCGUGCUGCAAAAUCUGCAAGUAAUUUAUAUCAACCGAGUAAUAUGCAGAAAGAGUGCACCAAGGGAUGCAGACAGUGAUGAUGUUUAAGCAGUAGACAUUAUAACAUUACCAGCCUCUACAUUCCCUGAUUUUUCGUCUUCAUCUUU